CUGGAACCGGGCAAUGGAAGGUGUCGAGGAUUCCAAAGGCUGGGCUUAAGGUGGGAAGUUUUGAGAUGCCCCCACCCUGCCCCUAACAGCUGAGACACAAGAAGAAGAAACUGAGGCAGAGAGCAGCUAAGAAACUUGAUCAAGGCCACAGCUGGUCCUAGAACCAGGAUUAAGACUGCCUUCGGCUAAGACCUUCCUGCCAGAAGUUUCUCUGCCUAAGGAAUGAGGGCACACAAACUAUG
Molecule: long non-coding RNA, 242 nt
Organism: Lontra canadensis (Northern American river otter)
Lineage: Eukaryota; Metazoa; Chordata; Mammalia; Carnivora; Mustelidae
Exons: 3
Source: RefSeq, a predicted model, not a curated record